Carcharodon carcharias (great white shark) is the source of this 433-nucleotide long non-coding RNA. RefSeq lists it as uncharacterized. The record is from RefSeq and is a predicted model, not a curated record. The transcript is spliced from 3 exons. NCBI's taxonomy places the organism in Eukaryota, Metazoa, Chordata, Chondrichthyes, Lamniformes, Lamnidae.
AAGGGAUGCAAGCUGGCCAGGCAGUGGAGGAACACCAAGAAAAGAGUGAUGAUUGAGACAUAGUAUUCUCACUUGGUUUCACACGUGCAGCCGCCAGUUCAGACACUGAGAUUGCAUGCAUCUUAGAGGGCAGGUUAGAGUUAGUACAGGGUGUUGCUGCUCAUGAUGCCAAAGAGGCCAACGACAGAUUGAGAGACUGCUUUGUUCAACAGACUUUCAGCAUCAGCAGUUAUUUGCUUCUGUAAUUCCAGGGAUAUUGUAAUUCCAGAGAUGCAUGCAAAGGUGGAUGCUAGUAACUUCAGACUGCAAACCAUCAAGGCAAAAAUAACUACAACUUUAUUAAUCAUGUAACAAAAAUUGAGAUAGUUACAGCUGCUUGUUUUGCUGCACAAUAUCAAUGUAUUCACUACUUAGCAUAUAUUCUACUGUGAUG